Molecule: ribosomal RNA, 664 nt
Filed under: uncultured bacterium
Lineage: Bacteria
Description: bacterial SSU rRNA
Rfam family: Bacterial small subunit ribosomal RNA
Source: RNAcentral
GUCGUGCGGGAAAAUAGGGGCAACCCUGUGAGUACAGCGGCGCACGGGUGAGUAACACGUAGGUAACCUACCUUCGAGACCGGGAUAACCUGUCGAAAGAUGGGCUAAUACUGGAUAAGACCACGACGGUCCUGGCUGUCGGGGUAAAAAGUGGCCUCUGUUUACAAGCUACCACUCGGAGAUGGGCCUGCGCGCCAUUAGCUAGUUGGUGGGGUAACGGCCUACCAAGGCAAAGAUGGCUAGCUGGUCUGAGAGGAUGGCCAGCCACACUGGGACUGAGACACGGCCCAGACUCCUACGGGAGGCAGCAGUGGGGAAUAUUGCGCAAUGGGCGAAAGCCUGACGCAGCGACGCCGCGUGGGUGAUGAAGGCCUUCGGGUCGUAAAGCCCUGUCGGGAGGGACGAAACCUCGGUAGCCUAAUAUGCUACUGACUUGACGGUACCUCUUAAGGAAGCACCGGCUAACUCCGUGCCAGCAGCCGCGGUAAUACGGAGGGUGCAAGCGUUGUUCGGAAUCACUGGGCGUAAAGCGCGUGUAGGCGGUCAUCUAAGUCUGGUGUGAAAGCCCGGGGCUCACCCCCGGAAGUGCACUGGAGACUGAAUGGCUUGAGUACCGGAGAGGAGGGUGGAAUUCCUGGUGUAGCGGUGAAAUGCGUAGAUAUCA